AGUGAACGCUGGCGGUAGGCCUAACACAUGCAAGUCGAACGGCAGCACAGUAAGAGCUUGCUCUUACGGGUGGCGAGUGGCGGACGGGUGAGGAAUACAUCGGAAUCUACUUUUUCGUGGGGGAUAACGUAGGGAAACUUACGCUAAUACCGCAUACGACCUACGGGUGAAAGCAGGGGAUCUUCGGACCUUGCGCGAUUGAAUGAGCCGAUGUCGGAUUAGCUAGUUGGCGGGGUAAAGGCCCACCAAGGCGACGAUCCGUAGCUGGUCUGAGAGGAUGGGGAGGCAGACUGGAAGUGAGACAGGCUCCGUACGCCUGCGGGAGGCAGCAGUGGGGAGUAUUGGACAAUGGGCGCAAGCUUGAUCCAUCCAUACGGCGUGAGUGAAGAAGGCCUUCUGGUUGUACAGCCCUUUUGUUGGGAAAGAAAAGCAACAGGUUGAUACCCCGCUGUUCUGACGGUACCCAAAGAAUAAGCACCGGCUAACUUCGUG
RNAcentral lists this ribosomal RNA (492 nucleotides) under uncultured bacterium. RNAcentral's name for it is "partial 16S ribosomal RNA". It matches the Rfam family "Bacterial small subunit ribosomal RNA", at positions 29 to 507 of the family's 1533-position model. The record is from RNAcentral.